Molecule: non-coding RNA, 74 nt
Organism: Aedes aegypti (yellow fever mosquito)
Lineage: Eukaryota; Metazoa; Arthropoda; Insecta; Diptera; Culicidae
Source: Rfam
CCUCUCAUGGCGUAGUGGUUAACGCGCCCCAACUAGAGAUCGGGAAGUCGUGAGUUCGAUUCUCACUGAGAAGA